RNAcentral lists this transfer RNA (77 nucleotides) under Oscillospiraceae bacterium. RNAcentral describes it as "tRNA-Arg". It matches the Rfam family "tRNA". Rfam says of the family: Transfer RNA (tRNA) molecules are approximately 80 nucleotides in length. Their secondary structure includes four short double-helical elements and three loops (D, anti-codon, and T loops). Lineage: Bacteria; Bacillati; Bacillota; Clostridia; Eubacteriales; Oscillospiraceae. The record is from RNAcentral.
GCGCCCGUAGCUCAGUUGGAUAGAGUGACUGGCUACGAACCAGUAGGUCACAGGUUCGAAUCCUGUCGGGCGUGCCA